CCUACGGGUGGCAGCAGUGGGGAAUAUUGCACAAUGGGGGAAACCCUGAUGCAGCGACGCCGCGUGAGUGAAGAAGUAAUUCGUUAUGGAAAGCUCUAUCAGCAGGGAAGAAAAUGACGGUACCUGAGUAAGAAGCCCCGGCUAACUACGUGCCAGCAGCCGCGGUAAUACGUAGGGGGCAAGCGUUAUCCGGGUUUACUGGGGGUAAAGGGGGAGUAGACGGCAGUGCAGGUCUGGCGUGAAAGGCGGGGGCUCAAACCCCGGACUGCUCUGGAAACUGGAGGGCUGGAGUGCAGGAGAGGUAAGUGGAAUUCCUAGUGUAGCGGUGAAAUGCGUAGAUAUUAGGAGGAACACCAGUGGCGAAGGCGGCUUACUGGACUGUAACUGACGUUGAGGCUCGAAAGCGUGGGGAGCAAACAGGAUUAGAUACCCUUGUAGUC
RNAcentral lists this ribosomal RNA (440 nucleotides) under uncultured bacterium. RNAcentral's name for it is "partial 16S ribosomal RNA". It matches the Rfam family "Bacterial small subunit ribosomal RNA", at positions 338 to 795 of the family's 1533-position model. The record is from RNAcentral.